RNAcentral lists this ribosomal RNA (400 nucleotides) under Cupriavidus sp. RNAcentral's name for it is "bacterial SSU rRNA". It matches the Rfam family "Bacterial small subunit ribosomal RNA", at positions 463 to 863 of the family's 1533-position model. The record is from RNAcentral. Lineage: Bacteria; Pseudomonadati; Pseudomonadota; Betaproteobacteria; Burkholderiales; Burkholderiaceae.
GCGUCGAUGACGGUACCGGAAGAAUAAGCACCGGCUAACUACGUGCCAGCAGCCGCGGUAAUACGUAGGGUGCGAGCGUUAAUCGGAAUUACUGGGCGUAAAGCGUGCGCAGGCGGUUUGAUAAGACAGGCGUGAAAUCCCCGAGCUCAACUUGGGAAUGGCGCUUGUGACUGUCAGGCUAGAGUAUGUCAGAGGGGGGUAGAAUUCCACGUGUAGCAGUGAAAUGCGUAGAGAUGUGGAGGAAUACCGAUGGCGAAGGCAGCCCCCUGGGACGUCACUGACGCUCAUGCACGAAAGCGUGGGGAGCAAACAGGAUUAGAUACCCUGGUAGUCCACGCCCUAAACGAUGUCAACUAGUUGUUGGGGAUUCAUUUCUUCAGUAACGUAGCUAACGCGUGAA